Molecule: ribosomal RNA, 281 nt
Filed under: Phascolarctobacterium faecium
Lineage: Bacteria; Bacillati; Bacillota; Negativicutes; Acidaminococcales; Acidaminococcaceae
Description: partial 16S ribosomal RNA
Rfam family: Bacterial small subunit ribosomal RNA
Source: RNAcentral
UACGUAGGUGGCGAGCGUUGUCCGGAAUUAUUGGGCGUAAAGAGCAUGUAGGCGGCUUAAUAAGUCGAGCGUGAAAAUGCGGGGCUCAACCCCGUAUGGCGCUGGAAACUGUUAGGCUUGAGUGCAGGAGAGGAAAGGGGAAUUCCCAGUGUAGCGGUGAAAUGCGUAGAUAUUGGGAGGAACACCAGUGGCGAAGGCGCCUUUCUGGACUGUGUCUGACGCUGAGAUGCGAAAGCCAGGGUAGCGAACGGGAUUAGAUACCCUAGUAGUCGUGACUGACU